AGCUCCUCAAGAGACCAGGAGGGUGUCGGGUCGGGGAAGGAGGGACAUUAAGUGCCGGACAGGCCCGUUCCCCAGGAGCGCAGCUGUUCCAUGAAUGGGGGUGACUCACAGCAUUUGCACAGAUGCAUUGACCGAUUUCACAACCAAAUCCAAAGGUUUUCCUUGAGUCUGUGGAGAAAAAUGAGCAUGACUAUUACAGUGUGUUCUACAGGAUGGAAAGGAUCAAUAAGAAAAUAUCAGCCUUUUUUUAAAUCCAAUAAAUGUGUUUUUUUGUCUAUCA
This is a long non-coding RNA of Choloepus didactylus (southern two-toed sloth), 280 nucleotides long. RefSeq lists it as uncharacterized. NCBI's taxonomy places the organism in Eukaryota, Metazoa, Chordata, Mammalia, Pilosa, Megalonychidae. The transcript is spliced from 2 exons. The record is from RefSeq and is a predicted model, not a curated record.